This 253-nucleotide ribosomal RNA is filed under the name uncultured bacterium. RNAcentral's name for it is "partial 16S ribosomal RNA". It matches the Rfam family "Bacterial small subunit ribosomal RNA", at positions 524 to 776 of the family's 1533-position model. The record is from RNAcentral.
CACGUAGGGUGCGAGCGUUGUCCGGAAUUAUUGGGCGUAAAGAGCGUGUAGGCGGCCAGGUAGGUCGGUUGUGAAAACUGGAGGCUCAACCUUCAGAGGUCGACCGAAACCAUCUGGCUAGAGUCCGGGAGAGGAGAGUGGAAUUCCUGGUGUAGCGGUGAAAUGCGCAGAUAUCAGGAAGAACACCCGUGGCGAAAGCGGCUCUCUGGAACGGUACUGACGCUGAGACGCGAAAGCGUGGGGAGCGAACAGG